ACUAACAACUUUUAGUCUCCCGUAGCCAGACCCCUUUCCGUUGCGUUGUACUUCCGGUGUGCCAGCGGAUUUGUUCGGCCGCGGAUUUGUUCCGGUUGACCAAUUGCGCAAGCGCAGUAACUAAAAGGUGUGCAAUACGCUUGCGCACAUCUUGUCCCUCGGAUCUCCAGACGCUGUUUUAUGUUGUCUUCUUCCGCGGAUUUGUUCCGGGGCGGGGUAGAAUUGCCGACACCUAGAAAUUGUUUAGCGCAUGCGUGGUACAUGUCACACCUUUAUUUUUGUUCCUUUGGCCAUGUUAUAGCUUGUACAGGCUUCAGAGGCUUCUUUGUAGUUUACGCAACCUGCAGCUGUGAACUGUCGCGAUCGGUGGCUUGUACUCUCCGAUCACUAGAUAAUUAAUUCACUAGAUAAUUAUCUAGUGUGAAUAGACGUACGACAGGCUACGACAGUGAAAGGCUUGUGGAGACGGAUGACAUUACUAUGAUGUGGGAUACCACCAUCUCCACUGCAAGGAAGAUCAAAGCCAAUCGUCCAGACAUCUGUCUCAGAAAUAAGAAGACAAACACUUGUCGUCUUAUUGAUAUCAGCUGUCUUGCUGAUGGCAACAUUGGCAAGAAACAUGCUGAGAAGUUGGCGAAGUACAGCGACUUGCGAGUGGAGAUAAGCCGCGUGUGGCAUUGUCGAACACUGGUGGUUCCGGCGGUCUUGGGAGCUUUGGGCACAGUGCACGCAGGUAUUGCACGGUGGCUGGACAUUAUUCCAAGUCAUCACAACCUGCAGCACUUACAGAAAACAGUGCUUCUGGGAUCUACUCGGAUCCUUCGUAAAGUCAUGUCUUCUUUCUAGACAGCCGUGAUGGUCUAAGUACUUCUGAAGCAGGGUUUGCUUCCGGUACUUGUAAUAGACUUUACAAACCAGACUGAUCUGGUUGAGCACGACACAUAAUAAUAAUAACGUUUUGCUUGUUUUCCUAAUCGGUACAAGAGUAUUGGAUGCAUUACGACCGUGUUACCUGCUGUUUUGGCUAGUGCAGGUUCCUGCAAGAAAAAUUAAGGGUGUGGUCAAGAAAUUACAAGAAAUUUGUUUCGUUCAAUAUACGUAUUGUUUUAGCCAAUGGUUACAAGGAGAGUCUAUUUGCUUGCUGUAGAAAGUACAUACAGAAGCAAACUGUCGUCUGUUCGUCUUUGCGCAUGCAGCAGGGUGUUUACACCUCAAGAUCUUGAAAGAUCCUGGAAGACCACCGCAGCUGCCAAGAUCUUGGUUUGGUUUUGUAAUAUAUGUAGACGGUAGAAGGUAGUUUUAGUUUGUAUUCUUGUACUGACUUAUUUCUAGGUUUUUUGUGAUUUAGCUCACUUGGUCGACACAAGUUGUUCCGCAAUUUCGUGCCACGUAGAACCCAAGAUCUCUGUCAACUUUACUGAAAUUUACUCUUGAGUUAACAGAUGCCAUCAAGAAAUGCUCAAGGUCUAAGAACAGCAAGAUAUUUCAAGUUCUUACCAAGAAUGUAUACAAGCAUUGAUUUAUACUUUUCAAACUGUAACGGCUAUGGCCUAUAUAUUCUACCUAUGUGUAGUGAAAACAAAUGUAUGAUGUAUAGACUUACAUGCUGUUGCUCAUGUAGAUAGUCUGGCAUUUUUACUGUUCUAAAAAUUUUAUAGCACGUAUAUAUUGCAGCUAGAUACUACUAGUGAAUUUGUAGCAUUAUAUUAUUAAUAUCAAGUAUCCUACCUUUU
Long non-coding RNA from Corticium candelabrum, 1733 nucleotides. RefSeq lists it as uncharacterized. NCBI's taxonomy places the organism in Eukaryota, Metazoa, Porifera, Homoscleromorpha, Homosclerophorida, Plakinidae. The record is from RefSeq and is a predicted model, not a curated record. The transcript has 3 exons.